Molecule: small nuclear RNA, 146 nt
Filed under: Crocodylus porosus (Australian saltwater crocodile)
Lineage: Eukaryota; Metazoa; Chordata; Crocodylia; Crocodylidae
Description: U1 spliceosomal RNA (ENSCPRG00005001941.1)
Source: RNAcentral
UUCCUUAUCUGGCAGGGGAAGCACCAUGACCACGUAGGCGGGCUCCCCAGGGCAGAUGGUUGUCCCUAAUAUGUCCUCCAUAAGAGGUCUAUAUUGAGUAGAUUUUUGGUGUUGGGAGGUGGAACUGGAGCUUGCUCCAUCCACUC